This 633-nucleotide ribosomal RNA is filed under the name Triticum aestivum (bread wheat). Its description in RNAcentral is "partial small subunit ribosomal RNA". Lineage: Eukaryota; Viridiplantae; Streptophyta; Magnoliopsida; Poales; Poaceae. The record is from RNAcentral.
AUGGCAAUUCUGCUGGAAACAGUGUCAGUCCGGGUUAGUUCCAUUCAAAUCAUGCAAGUUAGAAUUCAAAAUAAGGGCAAAAGUGUUGGGAAAAGUAAAUACGACGGAGAUGUAUCAGCCACGAUUAGGUGUUUCUACAAGUUCUGUCGGGCAGUGGUGGCAGUGUUUGGACUGCAAUACUUGCGAACACCCAAUGCGGAAGACACUGCUUGGAUCCUAGCACAGAAUGCAGCAAAAGGAUUUCCUGGGAUGCUUGGAAGCAUCGACUGCAUGCAUUGGAGAUGGAAGAACUGUCCAUUUGCUUGGCAGGGGAUGUCAUUCUCCUACAACAAGGGGUACUACCUAGCUGACGGCAUCUAUCCGAGAUGGUCUAUAUUUGUGAAGACUAUCUCAAACGCUGUGCCAGAAGGCAAGAAGUCCCACUUUGCCAAGACCUGGUCGAAAGAUCAAAUAUGGGACUUCAUAAUUUGUUGUGUCAUCUUGCACAACAUGAUCAUCAAAAGCGAGCAGGAAGAUCCAGUAUUUGACACUGAACCAUACUACAGGCAGGGUCCUCUAACCGAAGUUGAUCAUCAGCUACCGGCAACCUCGACUGCCUACCUUAUUGUAUCGCCGGCUCGUCCCCAGCGGUGA